GAUUUCUGACUUGGCGCACCUGGCCCGCCACGGUUACGUGUGUGAGUGCCGGGAUGCGCCUGUCACUUUUCUAGUAAACUAUUGUGCUCUUCAUUGAGUGUGAUAGGUAGCUAGAUAAUUUACUUUGAAAAAAUUAGAGUGUUUAAAGCAGGCAGUGUUUGCUAUGAAUACAUUAGCAUGGAAUAAUCAUCUAGGACUGUAUCGGUCCUAUUUUGUUGGUUUCGCGGGCUGAAGUCAUGAUUGAUAGGGAUAGUUGGGGGUGCUAGUAUUCAGUGGCCAGAGGUGAAAUUCUCGGAUUCACUGAAGACUUACUUAUGCGAAAGCAUU
Molecule: ribosomal RNA, 327 nt
Filed under: Allapsidae sp.
Lineage: Eukaryota; Cercozoa; Glissomonadida; Viridiraptoridae
Description: SSU rRNA
Rfam family: Eukaryotic small subunit ribosomal RNA (bases 59-327)
Source: RNAcentral